Molecule: unclassified non-coding RNA, 1609 nt
Filed under: Hevea brasiliensis (rubber tree)
Lineage: Eukaryota; Viridiplantae; Streptophyta; Magnoliopsida; Malpighiales; Euphorbiaceae
Source: RNAcentral
AAUAAUUUUUUUUAAACUGUUUUUUUAAUAGCAUUUAAAAUAGUGCUUUUAUACAAAAAAAGUAACUUUGACCUUCCCAAUGCAAUGCCGAACAAGCACUAUAUUUAUUUUGUUUUGCUAUUCAAUUUUGUUAAAUAUUAAGUCCAUAUCAAUAUUUAAAACUUAUAAAUUAUGUAAAUAUUACUUCUUACACAUCAUUUUAGGCCUCUCCUUUCCAUCUCAUUUUUUUCUUCGCUAACUUAUCAUGUUUUCAUAUUGGAGCAUUUAAUUCCUUUUAACAAAACUAAUUUGUGCUUUUUUCACUUAGCGAUUUAACCACAAAUAAGAUAAACAUGGCAUCAAAUCCAAGUAAGUUCAUGGUAUUACUCAUUAUAUCCCCUUCCUAUAUUCUUAUUCUAGCAUUUUGAAUUUAUGAAUGCUUUUAUUGUAAUCAUUAGAUUACAAUCACAUGCUAUUUGAGUUUGAAAGAGCUCCAAAACAAUCUAAGAGCUAAAAACUAAUGGAUUUCUACUAGUUUUUUGGGAUGAAACUACACUAUUUUGUAAAAGCAAACAAUGGGUUUGGAUCUAGUAAUCUGCAUCAAUAUAAUGUAAGUAAAUCCUAGUAUAACUAUAAAAUUGUACAAGCAACCCAUACUAUAUACUGUCGUCCAUCAAAGAGGGAGAAGUCUCAAACCGAUAUGAGAUAUUAACAUAUUUUCCAUAUGUUUAGGACCAAACAUUUGAAAUGUGAAACACGUAUGAGAGGCCCAAUAUCAACUGAGAAGGUUGUAAUACCAUAUUUUAAAAAAUGAGUCGGAUCUAACUCACUCUAAAAAUCUAAUUCUAAGGGGAAGGAUUGCCCAAGAGAUUAUAAGGAGCACAUUACCAUUAUCUCAAACUGACAUGUGAUUAAUAGUUCUUAAAAAAUCAUGAGAUUUCAAUUUUAAAUUUCAAUAAAAACCUAAUGAACUUAAAAAAAAAAAAUUGUUAUCAUCCACCUUCACACACUUAAUUAUGAGAUGAACAUUAGACUACUUCUAACACACUAUUAUAGAUGAAUGCAUAAAUAAUAUUUUGCAUGGAAUGUAUCAUAAUUACUAAUCAUAAUAAAAUUAUGGGAAAAGUAUAUUUAAGUGCCAUUUACGAGUUUUAUUAAAAAGGGUUUGAGAUUUUCUUUUUUGUACGUAAAAACCUGUGGUUUAACACUGUCAGCACUUAAGGAACAAAAUGACUAACGGUAUUAGAUAUUUACUAAUGUGGCAGGUAUGCACUGACAUGGUGAUGAUGUGACAAACGUGUCAUGACAUCAAUGCCAUGUCAAUGACAAGUCAUCGUCACCUUAGCAUUUUCAUUAUUUUUUUUUACUUUGGGAGCAAAAGGUCAAAGGCACAUUUCACUUAAAUGCCAAAAAAAUAAAGUUAAGACCUUGAAUGCUAAAAGUUUGAAUUUACAUGAUACUAAAAUAUAUUUUACUUUUGAUUUAUAAAUAAAUCCUUAUAUUUUAAUAAAUAAGUCCUUAAAAAUUAUAAUUAUUUUAAUCCAUUUGCCUUUGUCUCUUCCUCUCACUCUGUUUCUCUUGUCCAUAUCUUUCGUCAUCUCUCUUCCUAUUUAGGUCUCUCUCCCUCUAU